GCUCUGGUGGCUCAAUCGGAUAGAGCGUUGGACUUCUAAUCCAAAGGUUGCGGGUUCUAGUCCCACCCAGAGUA
This is a non-coding RNA of Perkinsus marinus ATCC 50983, 74 nucleotides long. The record is from Rfam. NCBI's taxonomy places the organism in Eukaryota, Perkinsozoa, Perkinsida, Perkinsidae.